This 164-nucleotide ribosomal RNA is filed under the name uncultured bacterium. Its description in RNAcentral is "partial 16S ribosomal RNA". It matches the Rfam family "Bacterial small subunit ribosomal RNA", at positions 1337 to 1500 of the family's 1533-position model. The record is from RNAcentral.
AGUAAUCGCGGAUCAGCAUGCCGCGGUGAAUACCGUUCCCGGGUCUUGUACACACCGCCCGUCACACCAUGGGAGCUGGUAACACCCGAAGUCAGUAGUCUAACCGCAAGGAGGACGCUGCCGAAGGUGGGAUUAGCGACUGGGUGAAGUCGUAACAAGGUAGC